This 535-nucleotide ribosomal RNA is filed under the name Bifidobacterium longum subsp. suillum. RNAcentral describes it as "bacterial SSU rRNA". It matches the Rfam family "Bacterial small subunit ribosomal RNA", at positions 161 to 711 of the family's 1533-position model. Lineage: Bacteria; Bacillati; Actinomycetota; Actinomycetes; Bifidobacteriales; Bifidobacteriaceae. The record is from RNAcentral.
UGGUAAUGCCGGAUGUUCCAGUUGAUCGCAUGGUCUUCUGGGAAAGCUUUCGCGGUAUGGGAUGGGGUCGCGUCCUAUCAGCUUGACGGCGGGGUAACGGCCCACCGUGGCUUCGACGGGUAGCCGGCCUGAGAGGGCGACCGGCCACAUUGGGACUGAGAUACGGCCCAGACUCCUACGGGAGGCAGCAGUGGGGAAUAUUGCACAAUGGGCGCAAGCCUGAUGCAGCGACGCCGCGUGAGGGAUGGAGGCCUUCGGGUUGUAAACCUCUUUUAUCGGGGAGCAAGCGUGAGUGAGUUUACCCGUUGAAUAAGCACCGGCUAACUACGUGCCAGCAGCCGCGGUAAUACGUAGGGUGCAAGCGUUAUCCGGAAUUAUUGGGCGUAAAGGGCUCGUAGGCGGUUCGUCGCGUCCGGUGUGAAAGUCCAUCGCUUAACGGUGGAUCCGCGCCGGGUACGGGCGGGCUUGAGUGCGGUAGGGGAGACUGGAAUUCCCGGUGUAACGGUGGAAUGUGUAGAUAUCGGGAAGAACACCA